GACGAACGCUGGCGGCGUGCUUAACACAUGCAAGUCGAACGGAAAGGCCCUGCUUUUGUGGGGUGCUCGAGUGGCGAACGGGUGAGUAACACGUGAGUAACCUGCCCUUGACUUUGGGAUAACUUCAGGAAACUGGGGCUAAUACCGGAUAGGAGCUCCUGCUGCAUGGUGGGGGUUGGAAAGUUUCGGCGGUUGGGGAUGGACUCGCGGCUUAUCAGCUUGUUGGUGGGGUAGUGGCUUACCAAGGCUUUGACGGGUAGCCGGCCUGAGAGGGUGACCGGCCACAUUGGGACUGAGAUACGGCCCAGACUCCUACGGGAGGCAGCAGUGGGGAAUAUUGCACAAUGGGCGGAAGCCUGAUGCAGCAACGCCGCGUGCGGGAUGACGGCCUUCGGGUUGUAAACCGCUUUCGCCUGUGCCGAAGCGUGAGUGACGGUAAUGGGUAAAGAAGCACCGGCUAACUACGUG
This 468-nucleotide ribosomal RNA is filed under the name uncultured bacterium. RNAcentral describes it as "partial 16S ribosomal RNA". It matches the Rfam family "Bacterial small subunit ribosomal RNA", at positions 28 to 507 of the family's 1533-position model. The record is from RNAcentral.